AAUUAAUUAGCUUAAAAUAAAGCAUUUGUUUUGAAAACUUAAUAUAGGGAGUCCUAUUAAUUU
RNAcentral lists this transfer RNA (63 nucleotides) under Apsilochorema nigrum. RNAcentral's name for it is "tRNA-Ser". It matches the Rfam family "tRNA". From Rfam's summary of the family: Transfer RNA (tRNA) molecules are approximately 80 nucleotides in length. Their secondary structure includes four short double-helical elements and three loops (D, anti-codon, and T loops). Lineage: Eukaryota; Metazoa; Arthropoda; Insecta; Trichoptera; Hydrobiosidae. The record is from RNAcentral.